Molecule: long non-coding RNA, 1069 nt
Organism: Salmo salar (Atlantic salmon)
Lineage: Eukaryota; Metazoa; Chordata; Actinopteri; Salmoniformes; Salmonidae
Source: RefSeq, a predicted model, not a curated record
UGGUGGUAUAAAAUCCCCUGGGUUUGUCCUCCAGUCAUUCAUCUUGAGAAAAGACGGAGGCAGCAUAGCUAUAUUACGCGUACUUGUGGCUGGGAAGAUACCGAUAACAAGAUGACUAAAAUUGUGAUGGCUUACAUUGGAUUCCUUCUCCUUGCAAUGCAUUUUUCAUCACAGGUCCACGCGCAAAAGGCUAGCACACAGUCCCCUGCCAUGAAUGCUACGACCAAAGCUGGCGGCGCGAGUUCUAACAUGACCAAGAUGCCCGAUGUCGCCAAGAACAACACCAUUCCCAAAGGAGCCAGUGCGUCCUUGCAGUCCAGCUCGGUCGCGCUCAUCAUACCCAUCCUGGUGGGGGGCUCUCUACAGGGGCGCUUCUAGAGGGCUGUUGAUCACUGAACAGACACCGGCAAGACUGUAACAUCAGCGACCUAGAUGGGGUAAACUGUUUUACUAAGAGCACAUUUUUAAAAUAAAAAAUCAAAGGCAUUUGUACGCUCCUAACCGAAGAGAUUCGGUGGAGUUGCGUGGCGGACAUUUCUACUUCUCUGAUGGGUAUUGUUAUUUGCACUCACACCUUCCGGCCGCUUCAAACCAGCAGGCCUACACACCUCGCACACUGGCCCCAUGCCCAUAGGCCGAACGGUACGGUCCUCUCCAUGGAGGCAGUUCAUGAUAAGAUCAGUCCAUGAUGAGGAUGUACGGAACUGCACUUUGAACGGUUUGGUCCCGCUGUUCCAGUGUAGACACCAGGGGCUAGUUUAGUAACUUAAGAAGUUAACAUAUCUAAAGAAAUGUUGGUUUGAGGCUCUUCGAAAAUAAGGUAUAAAUGAAUCUGUGGCACAUGCACGAACAGUGGUAUUUCUGCAACUGCAGUGACUACUUUGUCAGAGGCUUGAUGUACACUUUUUUUUUUUUUUUUUUAAGAAAAUCUAAUUAAGUUUGCAUAUGUGAGCUUGAAUUGUCUAAAUCAGUGUGAUAUGCUUAUUUGUUUAAGGCCAGGUUUAAUAAAGCUUUGAAAUGUAGGCUACUUGUGACAAUUUUCUUGUGUAAUAAAAAUACUUAAACAUAA